Molecule: microRNA, 18 nt
Filed under: Drosophila simulans
Lineage: Eukaryota; Metazoa; Arthropoda; Insecta; Diptera; Drosophilidae
Description: dsi-miR-976-5p
Gene: dsi-miR-976-5p
Source: miRBase by way of RNAcentral
CAUUGGUGAGGACAUCUC